UGGGGAAUUUUGGACAAUGGGGGAAACCCUGAUCCAGCCAUCCCGCGUGUGCGAUGAAGGCCUUCGGGUUGUAAAGCACUUUUGGCAGGAAAGAAACGUCAUGGGUUAAUACCCCGUGAAACUGACGGUACCUGCAGAAUAAGCACCGGCUAACUACGUGCCAGCAGCCGCGGUAAUACGUAGGGUGCAAGCGUUAAUCGGAAUUACUGGGCGUAAAGCGUGCGCAGGCGGUUCGGAAAGAAAGAUGUGAAAUCCCAGAGCUCAACUUUGGAACUGCAUUUUUAACUACCGGGCUAGAGUGUGUCAGAGGGAGGUGGAAGUCCGCGUGUAGCAGGUAAAUGCGUAGAUAUGCGGAGGAACACCGAUGGCGAAGGCAGCCUCCUGGGAUAACACUGACGCUCAUGCACGAAAGCGUGGGGAGCAAACAGG
RNAcentral lists this ribosomal RNA (429 nucleotides) under Acidobacteriota bacterium. RNAcentral describes it as "Acidobacteria bacterium partial 16S ribosomal RNA". It matches the Rfam family "Bacterial small subunit ribosomal RNA", at positions 355 to 776 of the family's 1533-position model. The record is from RNAcentral. Lineage: Bacteria; Pseudomonadati; Acidobacteriota.